GUGCUGAUAGUUCAAUGGCAGAAUACCCGGAUGUGAACCGGAUGAUCAGGGUUCGAUCCCCGUCAGCACCCA
This 72-nucleotide transfer RNA is filed under the name Chitinophaga arvensicola. RNAcentral describes it as "tRNA_His_GTG". It matches the Rfam family "tRNA". Rfam says of the family: Transfer RNA (tRNA) molecules are approximately 80 nucleotides in length. Their secondary structure includes four short double-helical elements and three loops (D, anti-codon, and T loops). The record is from RNAcentral. Lineage: Bacteria; Pseudomonadati; Bacteroidota; Chitinophagia; Chitinophagales; Chitinophagaceae.